RNAcentral lists this ribosomal RNA (466 nucleotides) under uncultured bacterium. Its description in RNAcentral is "partial 16S ribosomal RNA". It matches the Rfam family "Bacterial small subunit ribosomal RNA", at positions 28 to 507 of the family's 1533-position model. The record is from RNAcentral.
GAUGAACGCUGGCGGCGUGCUUAACACAUGCAAGUCGAACGAUGAAGCCCAGCUUGCUGGGUGGAUUAGUGGCGAACGGGUGAGUAACACGUGAGUAACCUGCCCUUAACUCUGGGAUAAGCCUGGGAAACUGGGUCUAAUACCGGAUAGGAGCGUCCACCGCAUGGUGGGUGUUGGAAAGAUUUAUCGGUUUUGGAUGGACUCGCGGCCUAUCAGCUUGUUGGUGAGUUAAUGGCUCACCAAGGCGGCGACGGGUAGCCGGCCUGGGAGGGGGACCGGCCACACUGGGACUGAGAGACGGCCCAGAAUCCUACGGGAGGCAGCAGUGGGGAAUAUUGCACAAUGGGCGAAAGCCUGAUGCAGCGACGCCGCGUGAGGGAUGACGGCCUUCGGGUUGUAAACCUCUUUCAGUAGGGAAGAAGCGAAAGUGACGGUACCUGCAGAAGAAGCACCGGCUAACUACGUG